AGCACAGCCACGGGCCCAGUUCGGGCUCUCGACUUUAACCCCUUCCAGUCGCACCUCCUGGCCUCCGGGGCCAACGAUUCGGAAGUUUACAUCUGGGACUUGAAUAACUUCAGCGUGCCGAUGACGCCGGGGGCUAAAUCUCAGCCCCAGGAGGACGUGAGCGCGGUGUCCUGGAACCGCCAGGUGCAGCACAUCCUGUCCUCCGCGCACCCCAGCGGGAAGGCCGUGGUGUGGGACCUCCGUAAGAACGAGCCCAUCAUCAAAGUCAGCGACCACAGCGGCAGAGUGAGUGGGGCCGGGCCGCGG
Non-coding RNA from Pelodiscus sinensis (Chinese soft-shelled turtle), 306 nucleotides. The record is from RefSeq and is a predicted model, not a curated record. NCBI's taxonomy places the organism in Eukaryota, Metazoa, Chordata, Testudines, Trionychidae.